Molecule: unclassified non-coding RNA, 1584 nt
Filed under: Leishmania donovani
Lineage: Eukaryota; Euglenozoa; Kinetoplastea; Trypanosomatida; Trypanosomatidae
Description: gene:LdHU3.23.0330(CDS-product:hypothetical_prote in_conserved)
Source: RNAcentral
AUGCCAAGGUAAAGUGCUUUGUGCCGUUUUCGUAUGUGGGCUCCCUGUCUUCCGUAACUGGCGACGAAGGUGUAGUGCAGCUCUGUGCACGUGCACGACACUUUCUCUUCCCAUCUAGUCUCCGCUGGAAUGCGCCAAGGAGCCGCCAGGGGAUGCGCGUGUGUAGCCGCGCGCAGCGAUGGCCUUUGCGGGUGCAUCGCCGGUGCCAACGCGACCACCGCUGUGCGCGGUUACACUCGCGGCAUCCCCUACACUCCUCAAGGGACUAUUCAGGAUUACACGUCCUCUCCGCGUCACGUAAGGUUGGCUGAGAUGCAGCGCAAUAUCGACAGGGAGGCGAGAAGGGCGCCGACCGGACUCUACGAAGGCCCGACCAUCACCACCAAGGACGGUGCGAGGCCACUCUUUCCGCCCGAAAAAGCACGCCACCCAAACCGCGGCCCGGCCCCACGUGGAGCGCCACCGCCGACGUAUGCCCCGCAGUUUGUCGCACCGGCUGCGACGCGCGAGGACAUGAUGCCGCCGCAGCCCGAUUCCUACCAGCGCGACCUCCGCAGCGACCCCGCGUACGCAGAUGAUCCAGAGCAUAUUGUGGCGGCACGUCAGCGGAUUAUGACUAUGCAGAGCGACUCUUACGGCGAAGCGAUGCGCGGAAUGGUGGCUCCGCCGCCGCCGCUGGAUCCUGACGCGCCGCAGGCGUACCGGCAGCCUCGGGUGCAGCUGGAUGACAGCUGGUGGAUCCUGAUGUGGUCCUUUGCAGCCCUGUUCGUGGUGAUGGCCAUGUAUGGAAAGUAGUCUUAGGCGGGUUUAGUGGGUGGGAGAGAGGAGUCACGGCUGCAACGGCAGCCUUGCCGAGGGUAGAUGAUGGCGGUGGCUCACGAAUCGUUCGAACUUCACCUAUCCCUCUCUCUCUGCUCCUCUUGGAGAAGGCGCUGCUGCAAAAAGAUUCAAUCCCCGCCCCCCCGAGGGCUGUUCGUGCAGCUGCCCUGCUCGUUCCCCUCCCACUCUCUCGUACCUCUUUAUCGGAUGCGCUUCUUUAUGAGCCAUCGCGGUCUUGCCGCGUUCCUCUUCGUUAUGAACGCUUGAAUACUGCCUGGCACGUUCUCCCCCCGCUCUCUCUCCCUCUCCCGUGCGCCUGCCGGGCGCGUGCACGCGGCGUGCCGUGCGGAGGGGGGCGUCCACGUCGAAGAUAGAGCGACGCAAAUCGCGCCAACAAAAACGAAUACAAAAAAGGAGAACUCGUGCAUGCGACUCUGUGGGUGUGCUCCUCGCUUCCUCCGUCUGUGACCACCGCGCGUGUUUCAGGGAAGAGGAGGCACAAGCAGUAACAACCACAACAGAAAUGCACGAUGUCCGUGUCAUCUGCCUCCUGUGGCAUGCUCAGGAGAAGAUGUGAGGACGAAGGGGAAGGAGACUGCCACUUAAACUGCCUUCCUCCGUCGCAAUCGUUUCGCAUGCGCUCCUAACACAAACUCUCAACGACACACGUGCGCCCACGCACCCCUGUCUACCUCACGCAUGCACUCCGUCUUUUUCCUUGUGUAUCUCCGUCCCAUCGACCUCUCGUUGCAUGCUUUCAUGCAG